Molecule: transfer RNA, 72 nt
Filed under: Ovis aries (sheep)
Lineage: Eukaryota; Metazoa; Chordata; Mammalia; Artiodactyla; Bovidae
Rfam family: tRNA
About the family: Transfer RNA (tRNA) molecules are approximately 80 nucleotides in length. Their secondary structure includes four short double-helical elements and three loops (D, anti-codon, and T loops).
Source: Rfam by way of RNAcentral
UCCUUGGCAGUCAGUAGUUAAGACUCUGCACUCCCAAUGCAGGGGACCCAGGUUCAAUCCCUAGUCAAGGAA